ACCAAGCCCUGGAAAGCAGCUGUGGGCUGACGAGGAGGGCAGGAAGAGGGGGAAACCGGCAGAACUCUUCCUGGAUCAAAGACAGGCAGUUAAUGGCCUUCCACUGGCCACCGGGCAUCUGGGUAAUAACAAGCAGACAAGAAAGCCCAUCCCGGUAAUCACAGCGUCUGAUGUCUUUGGAGCACUCUUAAAGAAAUUAACCCCAAACACAGGAUCCUAUAAACCAGUUGCAUCUUCCUGCACCUCAUGCUCAUGUGCACAAUGACAUGCUUUUCUCAGCUCUCUGCUAAUUGUUUUCUGCCUUGGACUGGGCUCCUGAUGGACCCCUGGGCAGGGACAGUGCCUUCUGUUCUUCUGGUGUCCCUUACAAAGCUAGCAUUUGCAAGCUGGGCAGGGGUGCAGCAGUAGGGGGAUGGCAAGGCUCUCUGCACCCCUCCACCAAAUAUCUUCCUCACUUCCCUUCAAAUCACUGAGCCUACCUGGAAGGUCCCAAAGAGGUGGGAGCAUCAGAGAGGUAGAACACCCCGACCCUCGAGGAGUUGUCAUGUUCAUGGUGGCAAGUGGAGAAGAGCAAGCGUAAUGACCAUGCAUGCAGGAUUCCCCUGUGUGUCAACUCUGCAGGCUUACACUGCACAGGGCAAUGUGACAAGGGUCUCAUAAGGACUCUUACUUGAUUCUUGCAACAAAGUUGGCCAGACUAGCCAUUAACAGGGAUAUUUCUAGAGCCAGGCUGACUGGACUAACACACAGUUCUCAGACUCUGGGCUAAUAAGAGUCCUCACUUCAUUGGAUUACUGCGAAGUUAGAAAGAUUAAUGCAUAGAAAGAAUGGCACCUGAUACCCAGGAAGUUCUCAAUGAAUGUUAGCUAUUACCAUGUUCAUGUCACAGGUAAGGGACUUGAAGCACAGAGAGGAGACUGCACCUGGCCAAGGUCAAGGCUGAAGUAAGGUACAGAGCUGGGAUUCAAACCCACACUGUGAUGCUCAUGCAGCCAUAGGAAGCUGGUAGCCCCAGGGCCAAAUAGGCCUUUCAGUGUAUUUUAUUUGGUUCCCACAGUGAGCUUUAAAUCAUUAUUAUUAUUGAAUUUGUUGCCAAUAUUUUGAAGUGGGUGGUUUCAUGUGCAAAUCUGCAUUUGUAAUUUCUCUUGAAAAACUAACUGAAAGACCUGGCCACAUGAAGCCUGUGCUCUGGCUGGCCAGGACUGACUGCACCUGAUGUACUGUAGUCCCUACCCUGACAAGGUUGACGAGUUAGGAUGACAGCCAGAGCUAUUUGCUUCCUCACUACUGUGAAAUUUUGCCACUCAGUGUGGGCCACAAGAGAGGUGAAGAAAGUAAUAUGGGAGGUGUCAUAAGGGUGGUAUCGCCUCUGGUUUGGGGGUGGGGAGGGAAGGUCAGAAAGCUUCACAAGGAUUCAGAGCAAGUAGAGUGAUUUGCUGAGGGUCACACAGCCAGGAUGUAGUGGAUCUGAGGUGUGAACUCACGCCUCCUGGCACAAAGCCCGCUCCACCUGCUGGAGGAAGGGCCUGCCAGGUCCAGCCGCAGAACACGAUCACCCGAGGAGCUCGUUAGACACUUACAGCCAGGCCCUACCCACAGACAUCUGCAGCAGCCAGGACAAGGCAUGCAGCCUGGACACACAGAAGUCAAUCAUCUCAUCCUCUGCUGGUUGCUGAGAAACACCCCCUGAGCAAAUGCUGAGCCUAUUGCUGGGUCCAGGGCCGGGGACGCUGCGAGGAGAGCUGACUAAUAAACCUUCCCCAGCCUCUAACAGGGGGACCUUACAUCAACAGCUAAUUUGUGAGAGCUGCGUAUUAUGUGCAAAGUCCUGGGCUAGAAUUAAUAAGGGACCCAAGACAGCAUGCCUCUAUCGCUGUCAUCGGGUCAUGUGUGGUCACAUGGAGAGACCGUUGUACAAUGUGGUUGGGUUGAACCAUGAAUGGCAAAUGGAUUUCCUCUUGUGCACUGACUCUAAUGGACGGGAGCGGCAGCCUGGGUUGCUGUUCUCCGUGCCACUGGAGGACUGUGUCGAGAAGGAUUCCGAGGCCUACCUAGGCUGAAUGGGAAAGAGUGUAUUGAGCGAUGAGUAGUAUCUGCUACCGUUUGGGAUAAGGAAAGCCAACAACACAUGCUAUGUCUAUUUUCCUUCUCUGAGCUAAAUGUCUGGCACAACCUAGGAAGAGCAACAGGAAGUUGGAGCAGGGAGAGAGCCCACAUUGGGUUGGAGUGGUUCGAGGAGGCUUUCCAGAGAGCAGUGGGGCAAGUCUAGAGUGAUUAAGAAGAAGGGGAAAAGACAUCUUUCUGGGAGUUAUCAAACCGUAAAGCUGUGCUUAGGGCAGAUGGAAUGGUGUUUGAGAUGCUUUUGGUUUUCCCCACCACCUUCCUAUGAGGGUUGGCUGCCUCCUGAGGUCCUCAGUCUGUUCAGAGCUAUCUGCUAGUUCGAAGACCUUUGGAGAAGCGGCAGAGCUCUAGUAAUUCUCCCUGCCUUUAUAGUAAGCACCUGUUAUUAAAAAAACAAAAUCUAGAGUUAUGAAAUAGCUUUUCGUCUUGAACACCAACCGUCACUAGUAAGUAGCAGCUUCCUGAACACUGUUGAAAAGGAUUCUGAGGCUGCAUGUAAGCUCCAUGGGAAAGUGUGCAGCAAUUGAUUAAUAAUGUCUGCUGAGGGCCCUGGAAUGGAGAGCAGGGCACACCCAAGCCAUGUAUGGGCCACUGCUGACCUAGUUAAUUGUCUGGAAAGGGGAAGGUGUGGUGAAGGAGAGAUGCCUGCUGGGGUCUGGAUCCCACCCCUGACUCCUCUGGUACCACCUUGUGCUGGCUGCAUUUGAGGAAACCUGGAUCCAGAGUCUGUCCAUAUACUGAGGUCCAGUCAGCUGUGGUCAGCACAGGACACUGUGCACAGGUUACCCACCCUAGCACACAUGUACAUCCCCUUUAAGAGUCUCUUCCCAUCCUCAUCCCAGCAUUUCAGUCCUAAAGGACCCCAUCCACAGCCCCAAUCUUUCAGCUGCUGCUUUGAUCCCUCCCCUAUAUCUGUCCCCUACAUCUCUUUGCCAUUACUUUCAAUGGCAAAAACUGAAAUUACUUUUGCACCAAAAUCACACACCGUAUAAACAUGAGACAUGUUAUUAUAAUUGUUGUUAUUUUUAGGGAUGAAGGAGUCUGCCUGGGGUUCCUUAACAUUUUAGCUUGGAAGUUUCAACCACUUCCUCUCCCAGGAGAUUCCUUAACAUCCAAAGGAAUGAAUCACAGAUAGUGGGAGGGAGGUACAGUGACAUCAGUCUUCUCAUCUGUAAAAGGGGGUGGUGUGAAUGUCAGUCCCUUAGGGAAGUUGUGAGGAUUGAAAGAGAUAUAGUGGUGACACGCAUAGCAUUGGCCCCUGUAUGCACCCUAUAACUACAGGACAUUUCUAUUACAGUUUCUGAUGUUAUUACUGGGGUUAGGGAGUCUACCUGGCAUCUCUCAAAACUCACCUUAAAGGUGGCUGCUGAGACCCUCCUCUGCUUCCCCUUGGGCCUAGAAGAUGGACUUGGCUCUUUAUUUUAAUUUUUAUUUUUUGAGACGGAGUCUUGCUCUGUCGCCCAGGCUGGAGUGCAAUGGCUC
Molecule: long non-coding RNA, 3603 nt
Filed under: Homo sapiens (human)
Lineage: Eukaryota; Metazoa; Chordata; Mammalia; Primates; Hominidae
Description: HSALNT0358327
Source: RNAcentral